RNAcentral lists this long non-coding RNA (358 nucleotides) under Lytechinus variegatus (green sea urchin). RNAcentral describes it as "uncharacterized LOC121416539". The record is from RNAcentral. Lineage: Eukaryota; Metazoa; Echinodermata; Echinoidea; Temnopleuroida; Toxopneustidae.
GCUGUCAGAAAACUACCCUUCUUUGUAACCAAAUACUUUUUCUUCAUUUCAGAUAUACAGGAGCUGCAAUUCGCUUUUCUUUGUAAUGCAAAUAAGUUGCUAGAGCAGGAGUGUGAGUGGUAGUGAGAGUGACUCUAGGAUGGUUGAGCGGAUUUGAAUGAGUGUGUACAAGUGAAUGGGUUGUAUGUGAGGGGUUUCUCAGUUUGUCUCACUGCUAAUUGAGGAAGCCAUUUAGGUGGUCAUAGAGGAAAGACUUCUAGCAUGUCCAUUCCUUAUCAGCCAUGUUACUGAAUUUAUUUUGAAGCCAAGCACUACCAAAGCUGAAUUGUGGCUCCUCCCUUUGGGGACUAGGACAGAG